RNAcentral lists this ribosomal RNA (384 nucleotides) under uncultured eukaryote. RNAcentral's name for it is "SSU rRNA". It matches the Rfam family "Eukaryotic small subunit ribosomal RNA", at positions 587 to 972 of the family's 1831-position model. The record is from RNAcentral.
AGCUCCAAUAGCGUAUAUUAAAGUUGUUGCAGUUAAAAGCUCGUAGUCUGAUUAUGGGCGGGGCUCCGGGGCCGUGCCGAAUGGCGCGAGCACCUUUGCGGGGCUCUGCUUUUUGUUUGGAGGAGCGUGCGUGCUAUUGAUUUAGUGCGGAUGUUAUUCCGGAGUUUUACUUUGAGAAAAAUAGAGUGUUCAAAGCAGGCGAUUGCCUUGAAUACAUUAGCAUGGGAUAAUGGAAUAGGACGUCAGUUCUAUUUUGAUGGUUUACGGACCGACGUAAUGAUUAAUAGGGACAGUUGGGGACAUUUAUAUUCCAUGGCUAGAGGUGAAAUUCUUGGAUUCAUGGAAGAUAAACUACUGCGAAAGCAUUUGUCAAAGAUGUUUUCA